AGAGUUUGAUCCUGGCUCAGAUUGAACGCUGGCGGCAGGCCUAACACAUGCAAGUCGAGCGGUAGCACAGAAGAGCUUGCUCUUUGGGUGACGAGCGGCGGACGGGUGAGUAAUGUCUGGGAAACUGCCUGAUGGAGGGGGAUAACUACUGGAAACGGUAGCUAAUACCGCAUAACCUCGCAAGAGCAAAGAGGGGGACCUUCGGGCCUCUCGCCAUCAGAUGUGCCCAGAUGGGAUUAGCUAGUAGGUGAGGUAAUGGCUCACCUAGGCGACGAUCCCUAGCUGGUCUGAGAGGAUGACCAGCCACACUGGAACUGAGACACGGUCCAGACUCCUACGGGAGGCAGCAGUGGGGAAUAUUGCACAAUGGGCGCAAGCCUGAUGCAGCCAUGCCGCGUGUGUGAAGAAGGCCUUCGGGUUGUAAAGCACUUUCAGCGGGGAGGAAGGCGGUAAGGUUAAUAACCUUAUCGAUUGACGUUACCCGCAGAAGAAGCACCGGCUAACUCCGUGCCAGCAGCCGCGGUAAUACGGAGGGUGCAAGCGUUAAUCGGAAUGACUGGGCGUAAAGCGCACGCAGGCGGUCUGUUAAGUUGGAUGUGAAAUCCCCGGGCUUAACCUGGGAACUGCAUUCAAAACUGACAGGCUAGAGUCUUGUAGAGGGGGGUAGAAUUCCAGGUGUAGCGGUGAAAUGCGUAGAGAUCUGGAGGAAUACCGGUGGCGAAGGCGGCCCCCUGGACAAAGACUGACGCUCAGGUGCGAAAGCGUGGGGAGCAAACAGGAUUAGAUACCCUGGUAGUCCACGCUGUAAACGAUGUCGAUUUGGAGGUUGUGCCCUUGAGGCGUGGCUUCCGGAGCUAACGCGUUAAAUCGACCGCCUGGGGAGUACGGCCGCAAGGUUAAAACUCAAAUGAAUUGACGGGGGCCCGCACAAGCGGUGGAGCAUGUGGUUUAAUUCGAUGCAACGCGAAGAACCUUACCUACUCUUGACAUCCAGAGAACUUAGCAGAGAUGCUUUGGUGCCUUCGGGAACUCUGAGACAGGUGCUGCAUGGCUGUCGUCAGCUCGUGUUGUGAAAUGUUGGGUUAAGUCCCGCAACGAGCGCAACCCUUAUCCUUUGUUGCCAGCGAUUCGGUCGGGAACUCAAAGGAGACUGCCGGUGAUAAACCGGAGGAAGGUGGGGAUGACGUCAAGUCAUCAUGGCCCUUACGAGUAGGGCUACACACGUGCUACAAUGGCGUAUACAAAGAGAAGCGACCUCGCGAGAGCAAGCGGACCUCAUAAAGUACGUCGUAGUCCGGAUUGGAGUCUGCAACUCGACUCCAUGAAGUCGGAAUCGCUAGUAAUCGUAGAUCAGAAUGCUACGGUGAAUACGUUCCCGGGCCUUGUACACACCGCCCGUCACACCAUGGGAGUGGGUUGCAAAAGAAGUAGGUAGCUUAACCUUCGGGAGGGCGCUUACCACUUUGUGAUUCAUGACUGGGGUGAAGUCGUAACAAGGUAACCGUAGGGGAACCUGCGGUUGGAUCACCU
Molecule: ribosomal RNA, 1530 nt
Filed under: Pectobacterium brasiliense
Lineage: Bacteria; Pseudomonadati; Pseudomonadota; Gammaproteobacteria; Enterobacterales; Pectobacteriaceae
Description: bacterial SSU rRNA
Rfam family: Bacterial small subunit ribosomal RNA
Source: RNAcentral